RNAcentral lists this ribosomal RNA (484 nucleotides) under uncultured bacterium. RNAcentral's name for it is "partial 16S ribosomal RNA". It matches the Rfam family "Bacterial small subunit ribosomal RNA", at positions 30 to 507 of the family's 1533-position model. The record is from RNAcentral.
AUUGAACGCUGGCGGCAGGCCUAACACAUGCCAGUCGAGCGGAUGAAGGGAGCUUGCUCCUGGAUUCAGCGGCGGACGGGUGAGUAAUGCCUAGGAAUCUGCCUGGUAGUGGGGGAUAACGUCCGGAAACGGGCGCUAAUACCGCAUACGUCCUGAGGGAGAAAGUGGGGGAUCUUCGGACCUCACGCUAUCAGAUGAGCCUAGGUCGGAUUAGCUAGUUGGUGGGGUAAAGGCCUACCAAGGCGACGAUCCGUAACUGGUCUGAGAGGAUGAUCAGUCACACUGGAACUGAGACACGGUGCAGACUCCUACGGGAGGCAGCAGUGGGGAAUAUUGGACAAUGGGCGAAAGCCUGAUCCAGCCAUGCCGCGUGUGUGAAGAAGGUCUUCGGAUUGUAAAGCACUUUAAGUUGGGAGGAAGGGCAGUAAGUUAAUACCUUGCUGUUUUGACGUUACCAACAGAAUAAGCACCGGCUAACUUCGUG